This 744-nucleotide ribosomal RNA is filed under the name Bacillus sp. Y487_1. RNAcentral's name for it is "bacterial SSU rRNA". It matches the Rfam family "Bacterial small subunit ribosomal RNA", at positions 57 to 785 of the family's 1533-position model. Lineage: Bacteria; Bacillati; Bacillota; Bacilli; Caryophanales; Bacillaceae. The record is from RNAcentral.
GCAGUCGAGCGGACAGAAGGGAGCUUGCUCCCGGAUGUUAGCGGCGGACGGGUGAGUAACACGUGGGUAACCUGCCUGUAAGACUGGGAUAACUCCGGGAAACCGGAGCUAAUACCGGAUAGUUCCUUGAACCGCAUGGUUCAAGGAUGAAAGACGGUUUCGGCUGUCACUUACAGAUGGACCCGCGGCGCAUUAGCUAGUUGGUGAGGUAACGGCUCACCAAGGCGACGAUGCGUAGCCGACCUGAGAGGGUGAUCGGCCACACUGGGACUGAGACACGGCCCAGACUCCUACGGGAGGCAGCAGUAGGGAAUCUUCCGCAAUGGACGAAAGUCUGACGGAGCAACGCCGCGUGAGUGAUGAAGGUUUUCGGAUCGUAAAGCUCUGUUGUUAGGGAAGAACAAGUGCAAGAGUAACUGCUUGCACCUUGACGGUACCUAACCAGAAAGCCACGGCUAACUACGUGCCAGCAGCCGCGGUAAUACGUAGGUGGCAAGCGUUGUCCGGAAUUAUUGGGCGUAAAGGGCUCGCAGGCGGUUUCUUAAGUCUGAUGUGAAAGCCCCCGGCUCAACCGGGGAGGGUCAUUGGAAACUGGGAAACUUGAGUGCAGAAGAGGAGAGUGGAAUUCCACGUGUAGCGGUGAAAUGCGUAGAGAUGUGGAGGAACACCAGUGGCGAAGGCGACUCUCUGGUCUGUAACUGACGCUGAGGAGCGAAAGCGUGGGGAGCGAACAGGAUUAGAUAC